RNAcentral lists this ribosomal RNA (253 nucleotides) under uncultured bacterium. Its description in RNAcentral is "partial 16S ribosomal RNA". It matches the Rfam family "Bacterial small subunit ribosomal RNA", at positions 524 to 776 of the family's 1533-position model. The record is from RNAcentral.
UACGAAGGGGGCUAGCGUUGCUCGGAAUUACUGGGCGUAAAGGGCGCGUAGGCGGACAGUUUAGUCAGAGGUGAAAGCCCAGGGCUCAACCUUGGAAUUGCCUUUGAUACUGACUGUCUUGAGUUCGGGAGAGGUGAGUGGAAUGCCAAGUGUAGAGGUGAAAUUCGUAGAUAUUCGGCGGAACACCAGUGGCGAAGGCGGAUCUCUGGGCCGUAACUGACGCUGAGGAGCGAAAGCAUGGGGAGCGAACAGG